Molecule: ribosomal RNA, 834 nt
Filed under: uncultured fungus
Lineage: Eukaryota; Fungi
Description: SSU rRNA
Rfam family: Eukaryotic small subunit ribosomal RNA
Source: RNAcentral
UGUGCCAGCAGCCGCGGUAAUUCCAGCUCCAAUAGCGUAUAUUAAAGUUGUUGUGGUUAAAAAGCUCGUAGUUGAACCUUUGGCCUGGCUGGCAGGUCCGCCUCACCGCGUGCACUUGUCCGGCCGGGCCUUUUCUUCUGGGCAACCGCAUGCCCUUCACUGGGUGUGUUGGGGACCAGGACUUUUACUUUGAAAAAAUUAGAGUGUUCAAAGCAGGCCUUUGCUCGAAUACGUUAGCAUGGAAUAAUAGAAUAGGACGUGCGGUCCUAUUUUGUUGGUUUCUAGGACCGCCGUAAUGAUUAAUAGGGACAGUCGGGGGCAUCAGUAUUCAAUUGUCAGAGGUGAAAUUCUUGGAUUUAUUGAAGACUAACUACUGCGAAAGCAUUUGCCAAGGAUGUUUUCAUUAAUCAGUGAACGAAAGUUAGGGGAUCGAAGACGAUCAGAUACCGUCGUAGUCUUAACCAUAAACUAUGCCGACUAGGGAUCGGGCGGUGUUUCUAUUGUGACCCGCUCGGCACCUUACGAGAAAUCAAAGUGUUUGGGUUCUGGGGGGAGUAUGGUCGCAAGGCUGAAACUUAAAGAAAUUGACGGAAGGGCACCACCAGGCGUCGAGCCUGCGGCUUAAUUUGACUCAACACGGGGAAACUCACCAUGUCCAGAUGAAAUAAGGAUUGACAGAUUGAGAGCUCUUUCUUGAUUUUUCAGUGGUGGUGCAUGGCCGUUCUUAGUUCGUGGGGUGACUUGUCUGCUUAAUUGCGAUAACGAACGAGACCUUAACCUGCUAAAUAGCCAGGCUAGCUUUGGGCUGGUCGCCGGCUUCUUAGAGGGACUAUC